CGGAACUGCUGAGCGGCGGCGGGACCUCGUCUCCGUCUCGUCCCGGGAACCCCCGGCCCCGAGCCCCCACAGUCCGGUUUCUACCCGGAGCCGGAGUGGAGGCUGUCGGGGCCGCGCGGCCGCGGUGAGGGGCAAAGGUAAUUCGUUUGACAUAGAAGUCUUCUUUGAAAAACUUUGUGUAUUAUUGAAGGAUGGCAGAAGCAGUUUUGCUUGAUCUCUUUGGUUUGAAGUUAACCUGUCAGGAAAACUUCUAUGAGACAUUAUUGAAGACAUUGAAUGCCAUCCAAUACCACCUUGCUGCCAAGGCCAGAUUUCUUUGCAUAAUGGAUUGCAGUAAAAUGAGCUGUGAAAGGGAUGGUGAACAUGAUAAUUGUGAACUGGAAACAAGCAAUGGAUUGUUAACUCUUAUGAGAGAAUUUGAGAUUGUUAGAAAUCCCAGCAUGGCUGCCUCUUUGUAUACCAUUAAACAAAAAAUAGAUGAAAAAAAUCUGAACAGCAUUAAGGUAAUUGUACCUGCACACAGGAAAACCUUAAUGAAGGCUUUUAUUGAUUGUCUCUUCACUGAGGUUUACAAUUUUGAGUUUGAAGAUUUACAGGUGACUUUGAGGGAUGGCCUUUUGAAACAGUCCACUGAGAUAAACACAAUCACAGCUCAUAAACUAGAAGAAAUCCAGAGUGAAAUAGAAACAUAUUUGAGAAGUCUGCCAGCACUGAAAGGAGAAUUAACUAUUAUCACAUCUCCUUUGAUUCCAGAUAUUUUCAUACAUGGAUUUACUACAAGAACAGGUGGGAUAUCUUAUAUACCAACUCUUAGUUCCUUCAAUCUCUUCAGUAGUUCCAAACGAAGAGAUCCUAAGGUGGUUGUUCAAGAAAAUCUACGUAGGUUGGCAAAUACUGCAGGAUUUAAUGUGGAAAAAUUUUAUCAAAUAAAGACUGAUCAUGCCAAUGAAGUCUGGAUUAUGGGAAGGAAGGAGCCUGAAUCUUUUGAUGGAAUAACUUCGAAUCAGAGAGGAGUCACAAUAGCAGCUCCUGGUGCUGACUGCAUACCUAUAGUUUUCGCAGAUCCUGUCAAAAAAGCAUGUGGGGUUGCUCACUCUGGCUGGAAAGGUACUUUAUUAGGAGUUGCUAUGGCUACAGUGAAUGCUAUGAUAGCAGAAUAUGGCUGUAGCUUAGAAGACAUUAUUGUUGUACUGGGACCUUCAGUAGGACCUUGCUGUUUUACUCUUCCCAGGGAAUCAGCAAAUGCAUUUCAUAAUCUUCAUCCUGAAUGCGUACGACUUUUUAACUCACCCAGACCCCAUAUUGACAUCCGUAAAGCCACCAGGAUUCUUCUAGAACAAGGAGGAAUUCUUCCACAGAAUAUUCAUGACCUGAACCAGGAUCUCAACCUUUGUACAUCUUGCCAUCCUGACAAGUUUUUCUCCCAUGUCCGAGAUGGCCUUAAUUUUGGCACACAGAUUGGCUUCAUAUCAAUUAGAGAAUGAGACAUUUGACUGGAUUUUUGAAUAACUUCCUGUGUCCUUCCAAACUGAAUGCAAGAGAAAAACUACUAUUUGAUUUAUGUAAAACCAAGAGGAUUACAAUGGAUAAUUCAUCUUUAGGGAACAUGUGGUUUAUCUUUUAAACCUCCAGCAAUUUACAAAAAAGAAAAAAAGUACUAGUUGUGACUUUUUUACAUAGUGCGGAAAAUGUACCUGAAGGAAAUGCUCAUCAUCUUUAGAAGAAUUUGUGUAAAAAGGAGGAGAAGAAGGUUUUUUCUGGGGCAUUGCCAGUCCCCUACAACUCUGCGGAUAUGGUUCUCUGUGAUUUCAUCAUGCAUAUAGGUUGAUGUGACCAUCACCACCACAGCCAGGAGACAUACUUGCAUCCUAAGUAUCACUGAAAUCACUUCCAUGACACCAGCACCAGCUAUUUAGAACUUAAGAGUAUUUCUUUAAUUUUUUUUUUCAGCCCAUUAUAAAAAGUCCUGACUUGAUGCUUAGUUGUAUGAAGAUGUUCUUAUUUACAGUUGGAAGUUGUACAUUGAAUAACUUAUUUAUAUUGCCAUUCUUAUGUACAUUUAAAGAAUGUUGCCCUAGGAGUUCAUUUGACAAAUGUUAAACUGCCUCCUGAGCCUUGUGCAAUGUAUCAACAGAGAUGAUCCUCUACGUAGAGCAGAGCUACAUUUCGGGGAAUUCCUCUGUAACUUGAAAACAUGUUAAAUUGAAAAUGCAUGUACCACACCUAAUGUUCUGCAGUGUGCAGAUGGGGCUGAUAGACAGCUGCCACUCACUGGUGCUGCCCUGUCAAGGGGGUGCUGUAUUGCAUAUUGCUAGCCCAGGAACAAGUGAAAAUUCAAAUCUAAUGUAUGAGUUCUACUGAAUGUCUUUUACUUUUGUACUACCAUAAAAUUUAAAAUCUUUUUUUUAAAGAAAAGCAUUAUUAGUUAUUGUGAUAAUUAAAUUCAAGCACUUAUAUAUUCUCUGGCUGACUGAGAGAGUUAUCAACAAAUUGGAAUUUCCAAAGUAGAAUUAUAAACAAAUUGAAAUUUCCAAAAUCACAUGGUGAAAGUUAAUGUGUAUUGGCUAAAUAUUCCUAAUCCCAUCCUUCAGUUUUCCUUCAGUGAAAGUUUUAUCCUAUUCAUCAAAUAUUAUCUUUAUAAUGAAGUUAUUAUUUUAAUAUCAUUUUUGUGAUGCAUUUCUGUACAGGCAAAAAUAAUAGUUUAUUCUUAAUGGGUCAAAGAAAAAAUAGACAGGGUAAAGGAACUUGAAUACUCAGCAUGUAAUAAAGGGGGAAAAUAAAACACCAUAUUCAGAAUGCACAAGAACUCUGGGACAGGAUUAAAAGAGCAUACCUGAGUGUCAUUGGGAUAGAAAAGAAUGUGGAAAUACAGGCUGACAGCA
This is an RNA transcript of Ictidomys tridecemlineatus (thirteen-lined ground squirrel), 2882 nucleotides long. It is a transcript of the gene named purine nucleoside phosphorylase LACC1, with no coding region annotated. NCBI's taxonomy places the organism in Eukaryota, Metazoa, Chordata, Mammalia, Rodentia, Sciuridae. The record is from RefSeq and is a predicted model, not a curated record.